This 468-nucleotide ribosomal RNA is filed under the name uncultured bacterium. RNAcentral's name for it is "partial 16S ribosomal RNA". It matches the Rfam family "Bacterial small subunit ribosomal RNA", at positions 28 to 523 of the family's 1533-position model. The record is from RNAcentral.
GAUGAACGCUGGCGGCGUGCCUAACACAUGCAAGUCGAGCGAUUUGCUUCGGUAAAGAGCGGCGGACGGGUGAGUAACGCGUGGGUAACCUGCCCUGUACACACGGAUAACAUACUGAAAGGUAUGCUAAUACGGGAUAACAUAAGAGAGUCGCAUGGCCUUCUUAUCAAAGCUUUUGCGGUACAGGAUGGACCCGCGUCUGAUUAGCUAGUUGGUAAGGUAACGGCUUACCAAGGCGACGAUCAGUAGCCGACCCGAGAGGGUGAUCGGCCACAUUGGAACUGAGACACGGUCCAAACUCCUACGGAAGGCAGCAUUGGGGGAUAUUGCACAAUGGGCGAAAGCCUGAUGCAGCAACGCCGCGUGAGCGAUGAAGGCCUUCGGGUCGUAAAGCUCUGUCCUCAAGGAAGAUAAUGACGGUACUUGAGGAGGAAGCCCCGGCUAACUACGUGCCAGCAGCCGCCGCAG